Molecule: long non-coding RNA, 4108 nt
Organism: Cryptomeria japonica (Japanese cedar)
Lineage: Eukaryota; Viridiplantae; Streptophyta; Pinopsida; Cupressales; Cupressaceae
Exons: 5
Source: RefSeq, a predicted model, not a curated record
UAGAUGGAGGGGAUUGACAUUACACUCCUUUUUAUAACCUCUCUCAUGAGUUGGGAAGUGGUUAUUAUGCAGAGGCGUUUAUCAGUCGUAGAAGGAUGUAAUCAAUCUUUCUAAACAAAAACCUCUCUUACAUGUGUUUGAUGUCCUCCAUGGCAGUAACGAUGGACAGAUAGAUGGAAAUGGAGCGUCCAUUAGCAAUUAGUAUUUGCAUUACAGUAAACAAGAUGAUCUCAACUUUUUAUCCGAUAGAAUUUAUUGUGUGGGAAUUUUGGAUCGAAAAAUUGUCUCACGCCCGAAAACAAUUUUAUUCCUUAUUGAUUGCAGUAGCUAGCUGAAAAACCAUUUUCAAAUCACCGAAUCGAAGGGUGAAAGAUUGCCGCUAAUAAAUAGCAGUAAAUUUCAUUUAAUGUUGCCAGUUGUGCUAUGUACUGCUUCAGCUACAACGUCCCAGCGAGCCUGUAUGUAAGUCGAACAAAGUGAACGGAAAGACCGAUGGUGCUCUAUUAGCAAUCAAAAGGUUGCAACCAUCUACACAGACUAACAAGAAAUCCAAGUCUGAAAUGAUUACUCUAGGCAAAUGCGUCACAGAAAUUUGGUUCCACUUUUUGGCUACUGUGUUGCAAAAGGAGAGAAGCUUCUAGUUUACAUGCACAUGCCUAAUGGAACCUUGGACGAAAAACUUCAUGUUGUUGAGUCAGAUGGUAAUAGUAUAGAUUGGCCCAAAAGGUUAAAAAUAGCAAUUGCUGCAGCUAGAGGAUUGGCUUGGCUUCACCAUAGCUGCAACCCUAGAGUUAUCCAUAGCAAUGUAAGUUCUAAAUGUAGCCUAUAUUAUUGAAUGAAUAUUAUGAACCGAGGAUAACAGACUUUGGCUUUCUCGGUUGGUGAAUCCUUUAGAUACCCAUCUUAGCACAUUUGUCAAUGGUGAUUUUGGCGAUUUGGGUUAUGCAGCGCCAGAAUACAUGCGCACCUUGGUUGCCACUUUGAAGGGGGAUGUCUUUAGUUUUGGGGUUGUUCUUCUAGAGUUGGUUACUAGACAGAAACCUGUUGAAGUUGAAAAUGUACAUGAAAGUUUCAAGGGUAAUUUAGUAGAUUGGAUCAGUAAGCUUUCAAAACAUGGUAAUGCUCAGGAAACCAUCGACAAAGAUUUGGUUGGCAGGGAAUAUGAUGCAGAGCCUGUACAAAAGUUCUGGAAGUGGCUACUAACUGUGUUCUUUCUCCAGACAAGGAGAGGCCUUCUAUGCAUGAGGUUCACCAUCUGCUAAGAGCUAUUGGUGAGAAUUACAACUUUUCAGAUCAGCAUGAUGAUAUGCCUAUUGUAUCAGAUGCUGCUGAGUGUGAUUACUCAAAUGAGCUUAUAGUGGCAAUAGAACCAAAGUGAAAUUCGGCUAUAGCUAUGAGUACCUCUCAGGAAAGUCUCUGGCAAAUGGCAAAGAUGACUCAGAUUCUUAACUGUAACAUUUUUGUGGGAGCUAAGCUAUGGCGUGAAUAUAAUUAUAGAUUGAUAUUCUGCUACCUCCUUCAAAAAGUCUGCUAACCAAAUUAAUCUUGAAGACUUAUCAUGUACCAUCAUGAAAGUGCUCUCAUCUCUGCAGGAGAACAUGAAUAACUUCUUGAAACAUGUCAGAGGAUUCAUUGGCAGAUUAAUAUAACUUAUAUAUUCUAAAUUAUUUCUAGCUGAAUUUUGUUGGGCAAUAGACCCAAGGUAAGAAAAUAGUUGAGCUGAUAGGCUCUUAGUAUGGGCUUUUCUUGUCGGUAAAUAGUCAGUAUGUCGGUUAUUGCUAUUUCCUGGGGAUCGUUUUGUUUGUCGGUCAUGUUUUCUGGUGGUGUGGAAAAGGAAAGGCAAGUUGAUUUAAUGCCAUUUAACUGAGUUGAUGUCCGUGUUGGCAUUUUAAAAAUUUUUUUUUUGGUGAAUUUGGGCGGAGAUGGCGACAGUACGGUUGUUAGCAAACUUAAUUCGUUUGCCUCUAGCAUUGAUUGUUGGUCAGAGGGUAAUUUUUGUGGCCUGCGUUAAACAUUCAUGGGUCUGGACGCAAGAAACAUUUGUAGAGAGUAUCGUGCGUUGGGCGAGUUGUCCAGGGUUUUCUGUUUCAAAUGCUAGAGGGUAUUCAAAGCGUUCUUUGGAUUUGUUGUUGGCAUUAGUUAAUUCGAGUGCAUUCUGCAAUUGGGUUUUUGAUUAAUCUACAGUUGGGCUUUCAACUUGCUGGCCAACUUGUCCAGGGUUUUCUGUUUCGGAUGCUAGAGAGUAUUCAAAGCAUUCUUCGAAUUUGUUGUUCGAAUUAGUUAAUUCGAGUGCAUUCUGCAAUUGGGUUUUCAAUUAAUCUACAGUUGGCCUUUCAACUUAUCGAGGUGAUCUUGGAAUUUAGCAGAUUUGGUGAGACUCUGCAACCCAGGUAGAUGCUCUUGUUUUUGGUAUUGGACCUGGAGGUGCAGUUUCUGGUGCGGGUCGUUAUCUGAGGGAAAAGAAACCUGAUAUUAAGGUUCCCGCUUCUCCAACUUCACCAGUUCACACAACUCGAAAACAUUAUUGUAGCCACAUUGAAUUCCUCGAUGUUGAUCCUCCACAGUGAUGUCAAGACAACAUCUCUGGCAGUUCAUUCCUCUCCACAUAUUUGACCACCACACCGCCAAUUUCAACAAAAUUUCAAGCACCUACACUGUAAGUACUUCAUUCUUGAAAGAAACAAAAGACUGAAAUCUGCCUUCUUUUUCUUUAUUUCAUUCCAAACAAGCCCUAACUAUGUCUACCUUUUCAUUCUUCAAUACCUUUACCAAGUUACCAGACAAGAUUAAAAACGACCAAAAAUUCUAGACAGAUCUUUCCUGCUAUUUUGUUCACAAAAAACAACUACUAUAUUUCACUAAUCUGACGGAUAUUUACUACCUCUAAGCUUGUUGAUUGAAAAAAACCUGUUACAACCAUAAAAAAAUCUGUCAACAAUUAUACACAUACAUUACAUGCACAUUGUAGAGACAUAAAUUUUCGAGUUAACUUUGCAUUUUUAGAAUUUUGUGACAUUUUUCAUUCCGUUACUUCUUUGAGUUGAUUAUUACUAAACAAAUUUAAAACGUAUUCAUUAUGUUUGCCAAAUCAAUCACCUCUCUGAGUGGGUAAAAAAACUUCUCACCUAUCAUAAUGGUCCUCUGCUCGCUGCAACUCCCAUUCAUGCUCAUCUACUCAAAACAAGUCACUUGUAGGGUUAUCUACGUUGUGCCUGUUCCAACCUGCAGAUUAUUCAAAACAAUACGUAACAUACCUUUUGGAAAUCUCAACCAUCUUCCUUGUUAUUGUAUGUUACCACAGGUCAUUACUACUCACUAUUUAUUCACAUGUUACUGCAGUUAUGCUUAGAAUGCCUAAAUUUAUUUUGUUUUUAAUUGAUGUUGUUGCAGCCCUUAAUAUUUUGUCAGUAUUCCUUCUUUAAGGAUUCUCUCCAAGCUGCUUCAACUUCAUUCCAGGUUAAAGUUUGUUCUUCUUGUAAUAUAAAUUGAUGAAUGCCUGCAAUAUCCACCCAUAUUUUCCUCUCCACCUGGCUUUCAAAAACCAUGUGCUUAUCUGCAAACAUGUCUCUCACUGUAGAAGUUCCUCAUUCGCUACAAAUUAUUUGUACCUGAUAUGCCUCAUUGCCAACCAAUGGGUAACAGACAAAGUAUCCAACUGUCAUAUGCCUUUUUAUUAUCAAAUUACAUACCAGGUUAAAAACGAUUUGUCCAUUUCUUUGAUUCCUAAAUACUUUACAUCUCUCUUAGGUUCCUAUGCCAUUUUCAAGUUCUUGCAGCUAAGCGUUUCCAAUGAAAUCUUCAAAUAAACAUUUCUUUCAACCAGACGACUUCCCACCUUUUCAGACACACCCAUGUUCACAGAUACACAGCUUCAACAAAAACACAUGGUGGAGCUCAUUAAAACAAAUGAAUUUUCAUUCUAAGUUUCUGCAAUUUUCGUCAUAUUUUACAUAUGUUGUACAAUCUCGCCAUAAUAAUCAUUCCAUCGCUUCCCAUUCUGCCAUGCAUUUCUUUCUACUUGAACUAAUUAACAUUCUGGAACAUUACCUGCCUAAAACGUGCAACUGCUAGUUGUAUUCAGUUCUGUUUUAUAUUUUAUCAUAUAUGA